RNAcentral lists this ribosomal RNA (433 nucleotides) under uncultured bacterium. RNAcentral's name for it is "partial 16S ribosomal RNA". It matches the Rfam family "Bacterial small subunit ribosomal RNA", at positions 29 to 507 of the family's 1533-position model. The record is from RNAcentral.
AACGAACGCUGGCGGCAUGCCUAACACAUGCAAGUCGAACGAUGCUUUCGGGCAUAGUGGCGCACGGGUGCGUAACGCGUGGGAAUCUGCCCUUGGGUUCGGAAUAACAGUGAGAAAUUGCUGCUAAUACCGGAUGAUGUCUUCGGACCAAAGAUUUAUCGCCCAGGGAUGAGCCCGCGUAGGAUUAGCUAGUUGGUGGGGUAAUGGCCUACCAAGGCGACGAUCCUUAGCUGGUCUGAGAGGAUGAUCAGCCACACUGGUACUGAGACACGGCCCAGACUCCUACGGGAGGCAGCAGUGGGGAAUAUUGGACAAUGGGCGCAAGCCUGAUCCAGCAAUGCCGCGUGAGUGAUGAAGGCCUUAGGGUUGUAAAGCUCUUUUACCCGGGAUGAUAAUGACAGUACCGGGAGAAUAAGCUCCGGCUAACUCCGUG